This 377-nucleotide ribosomal RNA is filed under the name uncultured bacterium. RNAcentral's name for it is "bacterial SSU rRNA". It matches the Rfam family "Bacterial small subunit ribosomal RNA", at positions 790 to 1167 of the family's 1533-position model. The record is from RNAcentral.
GUAGUCCAUGCCGUAAACGAUGAGUGCUAGGUGUUAGGGGGUUUCCGCCCCUUAGUGCUGAAGUUAACGCAUUAAGCACUCCGCCUGGGGAGUACGGCCGCAAGGCUGAAACUCAAAAGAAUUGACGGGGACCCGCACAAGCGGUGGAGCAUGUGGUUUAAUUCGAAGCAACGCGAAGAACCUUACCAGGUCUUGACAUCCUUUGACCGCUCUAGAGAUAGAGUUUUCCCUUCGGGGACAAAGUGACAGGUGGUGCAUGGUUGUCGUCAGCUCGUGUCGUGAGAUGUUGGGUUAAGUCCCGCAACGAGCGCAACCCUUAAUCUUAGUUGCCAGCAUUUAGUUGGGCACUCUAAGGUGACUGCCGGUGACAAACCGGA